GACGAACGCUGGCGGCGUGCUUAACACAUGCAAGUCGAACGGAAAGGCCCUGCUUGCAGGGUACUCGAGUGGCGAACGGGUGAGUAACACGUGGGUGAUCUGCCCUGCACUUCGGGAUAAGCCUGGGAAACUGGGUCUAAUACCGGAUAGGAGCCAUUUUUAGUGUGAUGGUUGGAAAGUUUUUUCGGUGUAGGAUGAGCUCGCGGCCUAUCAGCUUGUUGGUGGGGUAAUGGCCUACCAAGGCGGCGACGGGUAGCCGGCCUGAGAGGGUGGACGGCCACAUUGGGACUGAGAGACGGCCCAGACUCCUACGGGAGGCAGCAGUGGGGAAUAUUGCACAAGGGGCGCAAGCCUGAUGCAGCGACGCCGCGUGGGGGAUGACGGCCUUCGGGUUGUAAACUCCUUUCGCUAGGGACGAAGCUUUUUGUGACGGUACCUAGAUAAGAAGCACCGGCUAACUACGUG
This 465-nucleotide ribosomal RNA is filed under the name uncultured bacterium. RNAcentral describes it as "partial 16S ribosomal RNA". It matches the Rfam family "Bacterial small subunit ribosomal RNA", at positions 28 to 507 of the family's 1533-position model. The record is from RNAcentral.